GGAUGUGAGGGUGAUCUGGCUUGGCUAGAAAGGUGUUCCCUUCCUCCCUCCCAGCUCCAUAUGCGUUCCUCCCAAAGCUGCGCACUUGGUUGAAGAGGACCACCUUCUCUUCUAGAGGAGGGCCAUUCUUUGGUCAAGGGUAUAUGUGUAGCUUUGCUUCUCUGCUAGAACCUCAAAACAAGCUCUCAAGGUCCAUUUGCAGGAGAACGUAGGGUCGUCAAGCUUCCAAGACUCCAGACACAUCCAAAUGAGGCAUUCCAUGUGGCAGUCUGCCUUUCUUU
Bison bison bison is the source of this 281-nucleotide unclassified non-coding RNA. Its record names the gene 7SK. It matches the Rfam family "7SK RNA". From Rfam's summary of the family: 7SK was discovered as an abundant small nuclear RNA in the mid-70s but a possible function has only recently been suggested. Two independent studies have found that 7SK RNA binds the CDK9/cyclin T complex (known as elongation factor P-TEFb). P-TEFb activates transcription by phosphorylating the C-terminal domain of RNA polymerase II. Lineage: Eukaryota; Metazoa; Chordata; Mammalia; Artiodactyla; Bovidae. The record is from Ensembl.